UACGAAGGGGGCUAGCGUUGCUCGGAAUCACUGGGCGUAAAGGGUGCGUAGGCGGGUCUUUAAGUCAGGGGUGAAAUCCUGGAGCUCAACUCCAGAACUGCCUUUGAUACUGAGGAUCUUGAGUUCGGGAGAGGUGAGUGGAACUGCGAGUGUAGAGGUGAAAUUCGUAGAUAUUCGCAAGAACACCAGUGGCGAAGGCGGCUCACUGGCCCGAUACUGACGCUGAUGCGCGAAAGCCAGGGGAGCGAACGGG
Molecule: ribosomal RNA, 253 nt
Filed under: uncultured bacterium
Lineage: Bacteria
Description: partial 16S ribosomal RNA
Rfam family: Bacterial small subunit ribosomal RNA
Source: RNAcentral